This 464-nucleotide ribosomal RNA is filed under the name uncultured bacterium. RNAcentral describes it as "partial 16S ribosomal RNA". It matches the Rfam family "Bacterial small subunit ribosomal RNA", at positions 339 to 795 of the family's 1533-position model. The record is from RNAcentral.
CUACGGGAUGCAGCAGUGGGGAAUAUUGCACAAUGGGCGCAAGCCCGAUGCAGCCAUGCCGCGUGUAUGAAGAAGGCCUUCGGGUUGUAAAGUACUUUCAGCGGGGAGGAAGGGAGUAAAGUUAAUACCUUUGCUCAUUGACGUUACCCGCAGAAGAAGCACCGGCUAACUCCGUGCCAGCAGCCGCGGUAAUACGGAGGGUGCAAGCGUUAAUCGGAAUUACUGGGCGUAAAGCGCACGCAGGCGGGUUGUUAAGUCAGAUGUGAAAUCCCCGGGCUCAACCUGGGAACUGCAUCUGAUACUGGCAAGCUUGAGUCUCGUAGAGGGGGGUAGAAUUCCAGGUGUAGCGGUGAAAUGCGUAGAGAUCUGGAGGAAUACCGGUGGCGAAGGCGGCCCCCUGGACGAAGACUGACGCUCAGGUGCGAAAGCGUGGGGAGCAAACAGGAUUAGAUACCCGCGUAGUC